CUGGGGAGGGAAGGGGAAGCUGCCUGGGCCAGCGAGGUUCCACAGGAGUGUGGAACGAGGCCUGGCUGCCACACGCUCACCCCGUCUCUUUGAACUGGCCCACAGCACUUUGAGGCUUUUCCUCACGGCAGCCAGUCCCGUAAACACCGUUUCUGCUGGAGUUAUAAUAUGCAGCCAUCUGCAAUUUUGUACCCACAAAACAGCUUAUAAAUCACAGCAGGGCUGGCAGGGCAUUCCCUCUGCUGAAGGACUGGAAUGGUGGGGUUUUUCCUGAGGGCAGGCACAGGAGAUUUGGAAGCCCUCAAGACCUGUGCCAGGCAGUGCUUCCACAGGCUGACUGUGGCUCUUUUCAUCAGACUGCAUUUGUCCAUCCCACAAAAGAGCACAAUCCCCAUUUUCUCCCCUUCUUCUCCCACACAGGAGGGGCCUCUUCCUGGCAGACCCGCACAAUGAAGGCCCAGUGCUGGCUGGUGUUGGGGGAAGCACCAGGAUACCUGGAUUGACCCUUGCUCUCGAAAGGAGGAUCCUUUCUUCGUGCUGUACUCCACACCAGGCAGGCAGAGUUCACUUCUGGGAGCUGUGGGAGAGGAGGAGACUGACAUCUGCUACCCAAAAGGAAGGGAUUCCCCCACCUCCCAACCAAAUUCAGAAAGUGGAUGGAUGCUGACACUGCCUUCGGCACUGAAGCUGCAAUAUGCUGUGUGGGCAGAUCCCACUUCAGCAGCAUUCACAGCAAGAUCACACAGACAUAAAAGGAAGUCUGAAUGAAUGAAGGGAGAAUGUCACAUCUAGGCACACAAUCUGAAGUCCAACUCAAUUUCUCUAUGGGCUUUUAAAUGAAAUUCUUGCUUACUUCAUAUGCCUUUUAUUUAAGACUGUGUCAGAGAGUUCUGAAAGAUUGCUUUCAUUAAAUGUACUUAGUUCCUGAA
Cyanistes caeruleus (blue tit) is the source of this 929-nucleotide non-coding RNA. The record is from RefSeq and is a predicted model, not a curated record. Lineage: Eukaryota; Metazoa; Chordata; Aves; Passeriformes; Paridae.